RNAcentral lists this ribosomal RNA (264 nucleotides) under Hyla zhaopingensis (Zhaoping treefrog). RNAcentral's name for it is "partial 16S ribosomal RNA". It matches the Rfam family "Bacterial large subunit ribosomal RNA", at positions 2512 to 2850 of the family's 2925-position model. The record is from RNAcentral. Lineage: Eukaryota; Metazoa; Chordata; Amphibia; Anura; Hylidae.
GCGGGUUUACGACCUCGAUGUUGGAUCAGGGUAUCCCAGUGGUGCAGCCGCUACUAAAGGUUCGUUUGUUCAACGAUUAAAACCCUACGUGAUCUGAGUUCAGACCGGAGCAAUCCAGGUCAGUUUCUAUCUAUAAAGGGCUUUUUCUAGUACGAAAGGACCGAAAAAACAUGGCCCAUGUAUCAUACAAGCCAUACUUAAUAAUUUAUGAUUUAAACUUAAUAAAUUCUUACCCUAUUUAUUUAUCUCUAAACAAGAGAAGUU